RNA transcript from Trichechus manatus latirostris (Florida manatee), 4319 nucleotides. It is a transcript of the gene named PLAG1 zinc finger, with no coding region annotated. NCBI's taxonomy places the organism in Eukaryota, Metazoa, Chordata, Mammalia, Sirenia, Trichechidae. The transcript has 5 exons. The record is from RefSeq and is a predicted model, not a curated record.
GUUUUACUCUGUCCUAUAGGGUCGAUAUGAGUUGGAAUUGACUAGAUGGCAAUGGGAUAUAUAUCUCAAGUUCUUAUAAUCAUGAUUUCUGAAUAGUUCAUCUUUAAGAUAUUCAGAGUUUAUCUAUGCCCUGUCAUCUCUGUAACAGAUAGGUCUCGAUUUUUUCUGCCUUUUGACCAGUAUUCUUCUCAUUUACUUAUAGAAUCAAGAAUUAUUUUUUAAAAAGAGUUAUUAAUAGAUUUUCUAUGUGUGUUUUAGUCUACUAAAGAACAUGCUGUUAAUAGGCAUUUUUAAGCUAGUUUAACAUUUUCCAACAAUGAUCUCUUAAACCAAAUGAUGAUUUCUUCCUAACACCCCCUUCUCCUAUCACAAACCUAUACUUAAUUUCCUUUGCAUGUUUUUGAAAUCAGAAGAGUACUGAGUGGUUGUUACAUUUCAGCAGUACUUGCUGCAUUCUGAAAAAUAAAUUGGCAGGUAUUGCAGGUAACAAAAGUGAGGCUCCGAGAAGCCCGAGUUGCACAAGCGCGUGCAGUGUGGGCGUGAGUACUUCCAUCAGGAUUCUGUUGUUUUCUGGUGAGGUUCCAGAUGCAGUCUGAGAGAGAACUGUUUGUCUCCUCCUUAACAUUAUUGAGCUUAAUGACGUUUUGAUCAGGUUUACAAACAGUAAUCCUAACACUCAUUUCUCUUAGUAGGCAAGUUAGAUUUUAAAAAAUAAAUAAAUUGAAUUUGGGAAAGAAGUGGGGAGUCAUUCAGCAUCACAAAUUGCCAUUUAUCUAGGUAAUACUAUUUUACUUUUUAUUUCUGCAUCUGUUUGGUCAUGUAAAUGUGCUUAGAACUAAUAAAAAUAUGCAGUUGGUGAAAAUUAAUGCAUGACUCAUCAGCAGAAUAUGGAAUGUAAGCAUGUGCCAUGGAAUUGCAAUUCUUUUAUCCUUUAUUUUCCAUCAUUUACACACUCGUUCCAUUUAGAGUAUAGUCCAUUCUUAUGUUUUGUUUCCCAGAUUGGCCAAAAUGGGAAGGAUUGGAUUCUGCUCUCUUCCACAAAGAGUCAAUGGGACUGGCUAAGAUCAAAGUCUGAGACAUUUUCCACCUGCCAUCCGUCCCUUUUUGCUUUCUUUUACGACCACAUGAAACUUGAGAAGCCACCUAAAGCUAAAUCAUUUAGUGGAGUUGGGCAGUUCCCAAGUGUCCAACAAGAAGGCCUGGUUUAGGCUGCGAUGGCCACUGUCAUUCCUGGUGACUUGUCAGAAGUGAGAGAUACCCAGAAAGUCCCUUCAGGGAAACGUAAGCGUGGUGAAACCAAACCAAGAAAAAACUUUCCUUGCCAACUGUGUGACAAGGCCUUUAACAGUGUUGAGAAAUUAAAGGUUCACUCCUACUCUCACACAGGAGAGAGGCCCUACAAGUGCAUACAACAAGACUGCACCAAGGCCUUUGUUUCUAAGUACAAAUUACAAAGGCACAUGGCUACUCAUUCUCCUGAAAAAACGCACAAGUGUAAUUAUUGUGAGAAAAUGUUUCACCGAAAAGAUCAUCUGAAGAAUCACCUACAUACACACGACCCUAACAAAGAGACAUUUAAGUGUGAAGAAUGUGGCAAGAACUAUAAUACCAAGCUGGGGUUUAAGCGUCACUUGGCCUUGCAUGCUGCAACGAGUGGUGACCUCACCUGCAAGGUGUGUUUGCAGACUUUUGAAAGUACAGGAGUGCUUCUGGAGCACCUUAAGUCUCAUGCGGGCAAGUCGUCCGGAGGGGUUAAAGAAAAGAAGCACCAGUGCGAGCAUUGUGACCGCCGGUUCUACACCCGAAAGGAUGUCCGCCGGCACAUGGUAGUGCACACUGGAAGAAAGGACUUCCUCUGUCAGUACUGUGCACAGAGAUUUGGACGGAAGGACCACCUGACUCGACAUAUGAAAAAGAGUCACAAUCAAGAACUUCUGAAAGUCAAAACAGAACCCGUGGAUUUUCUCGAUCCAUUCACCUGCAAUGUUUCUGUGCCUAUAAAAGAUGAGCUACUUCCAGUGAUGUCCUUACCUUCCAGCGAACUGUUAUCAAAGCCAUUCACAAACACUUUGCAGUUAAACCUCUACAACACUCCGUUUCAGUCCAUGCAGAAUUCGGGAUCUGCCCACCAAAUGAUCACAACUUUACCUUUGGGAAUGACAUGCCCAAUAGACAUGGAUGCUGUUCAUCCUUCUCAUCACCUUUCUUUCAAAUAUCCCUUCAGUUCUACCUCAUACGCAAUUUCUAUUCCUGAAAAAGAACAGCCAUUAAAGGGGGAAAUUGAGAGUUACCUGAUGGAGUUACAAGGCGGCGUGCCCUCUUCGUCCCAGGAUUCCCAAGCAUCGUCAUCUAAACUUGGAUUAGAUCCUCAAAUCGGACCCCUAGAUGAUGGCGCAGGGGAGCUCUCCCUGUCAAAAAGCUCCAUUUCUAUUGGUGAUCCCCUCAACACGCCAGCGUUGGAUUUUUCUCAGUUGUUUAAUUUCAUACCAUUAAAUGGUCCGCCCUAUAAUCCUAUAUCAGUGGGGAGCCUUGGAAUGAGUUAUUCCCAGGAAGAAGCACAUUCUUCUGUGUCUCAGCUGCCCCCACAGACACAGGAUCUGCAGGAUCCGGCCAGCACUAUAGGUCUUGGAUCUCUGCACUCUCUGUCUGCAGCCUUCACCAGUAGCUUAAGCACAAGCACCACCCUGCCACGUUUCCAUCAGGCUUUCCAGUAGGAUCCCAGACGUGGAUUUAUCACAAAAGUGGCCAAUAAUCACUGCAGAUUGAGAUGUUUACCAAGAAUUUCUAAAAAUGAGUUUACGUGUCUCAAAACACACUGUCUUCCAAGUACGUAAGUUAAAAUAUACCAGUUCACCCAAGUUGCUUCUAGCCUACUGAGAUCCAUAUGAAGUUGGAGGAGAUCUUUUAAAUGCUGAAUAUUCAUCAUUAGCAAUGGCACACUGCUGUCUCUGACAGGUGAGUGCCUAAAGCUGAAUUUGUCUUGUUUUUCUCUCACUGUCAGCAGCAUGCCUGCAACACAGAUAAUCUUACAUAGAUCUACAUAAAAUUGUGUUGUGUAGUUUUGCACUACACAUGUGAUCCAUACAGAGCUCUUUUUUGAUCAUAUGAAACAAGAUACUACUACCUACAUUGGUAAAGGCACACUUAGCUCACCCUUCGGCCCUUCAACAACAUUAUCAACUCUCAGAGGAUGGAAGGCAGUGUCUUGAUAAGUUACCUAGCUCUAGAAAUGACACAGAACUAUUGCUAAUGUAUAAAACACUUUGUCGUAUAAGCUUCAGUGGUACAGAUGAACCAGAAUGAAUGUUUAUCUUCUCAGAAACACUCCUUCUAUAUUAUGUUGCAUUGUGCUGCUAAUGUAACUUGGGAUACAACUCUUCAUGGUGCUACAAACUUCUCUGUCUUGUAUGGUUGUAUUUUUUUUUUUAAUCCACAGAAAAAGGACUACAUUAGGUGUAAAAGUGUACAAUAUAUUUUUAUACUGUGACUUAUUUUGUCAUUAACAAACUUGCACCACCACAAUGUAUUCAUGUGCACUUGCAAAAGGAAAUCUUGGACAUGCAAAUUUACCAGAACAAACCCAGCUUUUGUCCACAAGGUGACUGAACUGAAAGUGAAAAACGGGCUCUAUGAUCUGGUGUGGAGUGAAGAACAUGCUGUAUGUCACUAAUAGCCCUUUGAAUUUAAUAAAAACUGGGAGUCCAUCAGGAAACGGAUUGCAACAUGCCCGAGCAUAAGCUGGACUGCUGAAAUUGUAUUUUUAGCUAAUGAAAAAGCGUUUGGACUAGUACUCUAAAAAUGUUCUAAUGAUAAAGUUUUGAGUCAAAAUAGAAAAGAAAAAAAAAAGUGCAUUCCAGGCUGAAUUUUGUAUAUUUUUAUUGCAUUUAAAAUAGCUAUUCUGUGAUAUUGGGAAAUCAAGUGGCUUAUCAUGUAUAUCAUGUACUUAAAAUGUAUUCACAAACUACUGUUGUAUUUGUAUAAAAUAUAGACAAAGAUCAUAUUUUUUUGUGUGUAUAAGCUCUGUAAAAUAGCAAUCACAUUAUGAAGCUGCAGUGAUACUACAUACAUUUUAACCAUUCACAUCCCAAAAGAGCAGGCUAUUUAUUGUCCAGAUACCCAGAUAUAAAAUAUUAAUUUGCUGCUAAUUAAACAAGAGUACUGCAGCUUCUUGUGGCCUACAGUGUUAUAUUUGCUGUAAGAAAAAAAAUAUGUGAAUUCCACAAAAUAUAUGAAUAAAAUUAUAGAAUGGCUUAGAUAAUGUAGAUCUUCCUGAAAUUUUAAUAGAUGAUAAUUUUCUAUUUGGGAUAACAUUUCUUCUU